This 233-nucleotide ribosomal RNA is filed under the name uncultured bacterium. RNAcentral's name for it is "partial 16S ribosomal RNA". It matches the Rfam family "Bacterial small subunit ribosomal RNA", at positions 118 to 351 of the family's 1533-position model. The record is from RNAcentral.
UGAGCAAUCUGCCCUUCUCAUCGGAAUAAGCGUUGGAAACGACGUCUAAUGCCGAAUACGACCUCCUUUCGCAUGAUCGGAGGUGGAAAGCUCCGGCGGAGAAGGAUGGGCCCGCGGCCUAUCAGCUUGUUGGUGGGGUGAUGGCCUACCAAGGCGACGACGGGUAGCCGGCCUGAGAGGGUGACCAGCCACACUGGGACUGAGACACGGCCCAGACUCCGUACGGGAGGNAG